Molecule: long non-coding RNA, 399 nt
Organism: Bubalus bubalis (water buffalo)
Lineage: Eukaryota; Metazoa; Chordata; Mammalia; Artiodactyla; Bovidae
Gene: NDUFB1
Product: NADH:ubiquinone oxidoreductase subunit B1
Exons: 3
Source: RefSeq, a predicted model, not a curated record
AUAUUAUUUCCCGGAGCCACCCCUCUCACGGACCGGACGCGGCUAAUGGUGGGUCCCGAGGCCGCCGCUUCCGCCGGCGCGAGUGGCUCUGCUAGCCGCUGUCCUUGGUCGUGGGGUCGUUGUUGGCUCCGAGGCCGCAGCGUUCAUGAUGAACUUACUUCAGGUUGUGCGUGACCACUGGGUACAUGUACUUGUCCCUAUGGGAUUUGUCUUUGGAUAUUAUCUAGACAGGAAGAAUGAUGAAAAGCUAACUGCCUUCCGGAACAAGAGUCUGUUAUAUAAAAGGGAAUUGAAACCUAAUGAAGAAGUCACCUGGAAGUAAUGGCUGCAGCUGAAUUACAGAAUGUUCACAUUUUUUAAAUUAUAAGAGAAAUAAAAACACUCAUUAUUUAAUUUGAA